UAGGAUUGGGUGUGAUUGGUAGCGCAAGGGAUUUUGAAUCCUUAGGAGUAGGUUCAAUUCCUACAAUUCUA
RNAcentral lists this transfer RNA (71 nucleotides) under Sicista betulina (Northern birch mouse). RNAcentral describes it as "tRNA-Gln". It matches the Rfam family "tRNA". Rfam says of the family: Transfer RNA (tRNA) molecules are approximately 80 nucleotides in length. Their secondary structure includes four short double-helical elements and three loops (D, anti-codon, and T loops). Lineage: Eukaryota; Metazoa; Chordata; Mammalia; Rodentia; Dipodidae. The record is from RNAcentral.